Molecule: ribosomal RNA, 253 nt
Filed under: uncultured bacterium
Lineage: Bacteria
Description: partial 16S ribosomal RNA
Rfam family: Bacterial small subunit ribosomal RNA
Source: RNAcentral
UACGUAGGGGGCGAGCGUUGUCCGGAUUUACUGGGCGUAAAGCGCGUGUAGGCGGUUUGCCAAGUCCGGGGUGAAAGGCGGGGGCUCAACCCCCGAACUGCGCUGGAAACUGGCAGACUUGAGUGUCGGAGAGGGGAGUGGAAUUCUCGGUGUAGCGGUGAAAUGCGUAGAGAUCGAGAGGAACACCCGUGGCGAAGGCGGCUCCCUGGCCGAACACUGACGCUGAGACGCGAAAGCGCGGGGAGCGAACGGG